This 223-nucleotide ribosomal RNA is filed under the name uncultured bacterium. Its description in RNAcentral is "partial 16S ribosomal RNA". It matches the Rfam family "Bacterial small subunit ribosomal RNA", at positions 109 to 334 of the family's 1533-position model. The record is from RNAcentral.
AGUAAUGUCUGGGAAACUGCCUGAUGGAGGGGGAUAACUACUGGAAACGGUAGCUAAUACCGCAUAACGUCGCAAGACCAAAGUGGGGGACCGUUCGGGCCUCAUGCCAUCAGAUGUGCCCAGAUGGGAUUAGCUAGUAGGUGGGGUAACGGCUCACCUAGGCGACGAUCCCUAGCUGGUCUGAGAGGAUGGCCAGCCACACUGGAACUGAGACACGGUCCAG